GACGAACGCUGGCGGCGUGCUUAACACAUGCAAGUCGAACGGAAAGGCCCUGCUUUUGUGGGGUGCUCGAGUGGCGAACGGGUGAGUAACACGUGAGUAACCUGCCCUUGACUUUGGGAUAACUUCAGGAAACUGGGGCUAAUACCGGAUAGGAGCUCCUGCUGCAUGGUGGGGGUUGGAAAGUUUCGGCGGUUGGGGAUGGACUCGCGGCUUAUCAGCUUGUUGGUGGGGUAGUGGCUUACCAAGGCUUUGACGGGUAGCCGGCCUGAGAGGGUGACCGGCCACAUUGGGGCUGAGAUACGGCCCAGACUCCUACGGGAGGCAGCAGUGGGGAAUAUUGCACAAUGGGCGGAAGCCUGAUGCAGCAACGCCGCGUGCGGGAUGACGGCCUUCGGGUUGUAAACCGCUUUCGCCUGUGACGAAGCGUGAGUGACGGUAAUGGGUAAAGAAGCACCGGCUAACUACGUGCCAGCAGCCGCGGUGAUACGUAGGGUGCGAGCGUUGUCCGGAUUUAUUGGGCGUAAAGGGCUCGUGGGUGGUUGAUCGCGUCGGAAGUGUAAUCUUGGGGCUUAACCCUGAGCGUGCUUUCGAUACGGGUUGACUUGAGGAAGGUAGGGGAGAAUGGAAUUCCUGGUGGAGCGGUGGAAUGCGCAGAUAUCAGGAGGAACACCAGUGGCGAAGGCGGUUCUCUGGGCCUUUCCUGACGCUGAGGAGCGAAAGCGUGGGGAGCGAACAGGCUUAGAUACCCUGGUAGUCCACGCUGUAAACGGUGGGUACUAGGUGUGGGGUCCAUUCCACGGGUUCCGUGCCGUAGCUAACGCUUUAAGUACCCCGCCUGGGGAGUACGGCCGCAAGGCUAAAACUCAAAGGAAUUGACGGGGCCCCGCACAAGCGGCGGAGCAUGCGGAUUAAUUCGAUGCAACGCGUAGAACCUUACCUGGGUUUGACAUGGAUCGGGAGUGCUCAGAGAUGGGUGUGCCUCUUUUGGGGUCGGUUCACAGGUGGUGCAUGGCUGUCGUCAGCUCGUGUCGUGAGAUGUUGGGUUAAGUCCCGCAACGAGCGCAACCCUUGUUCACUGUUGCCAGCACGUUAUGGUGGGGACUCAGUGGAGACCGCCGGGGUCAACUCGGAGGAAGGUGGGGAUGACGUCAAGUCAUCAUGCCCCUUAUGUCCAGGGCUUCACGCAUGCUACAAUGGCUGGUACAAAGAGUGGCGAGCCUGUGAGGGUGAGCGAAUCUCGGAAAACCGGUCUCAGUUUGGAUUGGGGUCUGCAACUCGACCUCAAGAAGUCGGAGUCGCUAGUAAUCGCAGAUCAGCAACGCUGCGGUGAAUACGUUCCCGGGUCU
This 1346-nucleotide ribosomal RNA is filed under the name uncultured bacterium. RNAcentral's name for it is "16S ribosomal RNA". It matches the Rfam family "Bacterial small subunit ribosomal RNA", at positions 28 to 1381 of the family's 1533-position model. The record is from RNAcentral.